GUCCACGCCGUAAACGAUGGAUACUAGCUGUUGGGAGCAAUCUCAGUGGCUAAGCGAAAGUGAUAAGUAUCCCACCUGGGGAGUACGUUCGCAAGAAUGAAACUCAAAGGAAUUGACGGGGCCGCACAAGCGGUGGAGCAUGUGGUUUAAUUCGAUGAUACGCGAGGAACCUUACCAAGGCUUAAAUGUAGAUUGACCGGUUUGGAAACAGAUCUUUCGCAAGACAAUUUACAAGGUGCUGCAUGGUUGUCGU
RNAcentral lists this ribosomal RNA (253 nucleotides) under uncultured bacterium. Its description in RNAcentral is "partial 16S ribosomal RNA". It matches the Rfam family "Bacterial small subunit ribosomal RNA", at positions 793 to 1055 of the family's 1533-position model. The record is from RNAcentral.